UCCUCAGCUAUAAUAUUGUCCGGUUUGGGGUA
RNAcentral lists this non-coding RNA (32 nucleotides) under Rattus norvegicus (Norway rat). The record is from RNAcentral. Lineage: Eukaryota; Metazoa; Chordata; Mammalia; Rodentia; Muridae.